GGCUGGUCCGAGUGCAGUGACAUUUAUAACUAAUUGAUCACAAUCAGGUACAGUUUUCUUUGUUCCUUCUCUACUCCACUGCUUCACUUGACUAGCCUCUA
RNAcentral lists this Y RNA (101 nucleotides) under Carlito syrichta (Philippine tarsier). RNAcentral describes it as "Y RNA (ENSTSYG00000033708.1)". It matches the Rfam family "Y RNA". From Rfam's summary of the family: Y RNAs are components of the Ro ribonucleoprotein particle (Ro RNP), in association with Ro60 and La proteins. The Y RNAs and Ro60 and La proteins are well conserved, but the function of the Ro RNP is not known. The record is from Rfam by way of RNAcentral. Lineage: Eukaryota; Metazoa; Chordata; Mammalia; Primates; Tarsiidae.